Molecule: ribosomal RNA, 339 nt
Filed under: uncultured Coriobacteriales bacterium
Lineage: Bacteria; Bacillati; Actinomycetota; Coriobacteriia; Coriobacteriales
Description: partial 16S ribosomal RNA
Source: RNAcentral
GGAGUUUGGACCGUCUCUCAGUUCCAAUGUGGCCGAUCACCCUCUCAGGUCGGCUACCCAUCGUCGGUUUGGUGGGCUUUUACCCCGCCAACUGCCUAAUGGGACGCGAGUCCAUCUUCUGCCGGAUUUCUCCUUUGACCUCUCUGCCAUGCGGCAUGUGGUCUUAUGCGGUAUUACCGUCCCUUUCGAAACGCUAUCCCCCUGCAAAAGCCAGUUCCUCACGCGUUACUCACCCGUCCGCCACUCGAAAUGAACAAAAGCAAGCUUUCAUCAUCCUCGUUCGACUUGCAUGUGUUAAGCACGCCGCCAGCGUCGUCCUGAGCCACGGAUCAAACUACU